RNAcentral lists this ribosomal RNA (402 nucleotides) under uncultured Sphingopyxis sp. RNAcentral describes it as "bacterial SSU rRNA". It matches the Rfam family "Bacterial small subunit ribosomal RNA", at positions 355 to 774 of the family's 1533-position model. The record is from RNAcentral. Lineage: Bacteria; Pseudomonadati; Pseudomonadota; Alphaproteobacteria; Sphingomonadales; Sphingopyxidaceae.
UGGGGAAUAUUGGACAAUGGGCGAAAGCCUGAUCCAGCAAUGCCGCGUGAGUGAUGAAGGCCCUAGGGUUGUAAAGCUCUUUUACCCGGGAUGAUAAUGACAGUACCGGGAGAAUAAGCUCCGGCUAACUCCGUGCCAGCAGCCGCGGUAAUACGGAGGGAGCUAGCGUUGUUCGGAAUUACUGGGCGUAAAGCGCGCGUAGGCGGUUUUUUAAGUCAGGGGUGAAAGCCCGGAGCUCAACUCCGGAAUAGCCUUUGAAACUGGAAGACUUGAAUCUUGGAGAGGUCAGUGGAAUUCCGAGUGUAGAGGUGAAAUUCGUAGAUAUUCGGAAGAACACCAGUGGCGAAGGCGACUGACUGGACAAGUAUUGACGCUGAGGUGCGAAAGCGUGGGGAGCAAACA